GUACAUCAUUGGAAUUGCAGAGUAUGACUCAGACAACAAACCAUUCCAAGAGACAGUUAAACCUAUGGUAGAUGGUGGAACAGAAGGUUUCGAAGGUUAUGCUAGAGUCAUUAUGCCAAGGAUAACACCUUGUUUUGAGCUCAACAUAUGGAUUUUCUCUCCCCAUAUCAAGUUUCCAUUAUGUACCUUCACCAAGACUCAGAGUACUGCUGCUCAUUGCAUUGAGUAUGCUCGUUUCAUCAAAUGGGACAAGAACAUAUGCAGUGGCUUUAUUCAGAGGUUUGUUCUACUGUUAUGACAUGUAAUUUAGGUACAACAAACGUUUUCUAUUUUUUUGAUCUUCAAUUUAUAUCACUCAGCUAAUGGACCUAAGAUCAUAUAGGUAAUCUACUCCUGUAACUAUUCUUCAUGUGCUCGAUUUGCUUAUUUGUUGUUUAUCAUCAACUUUCAUAAACCUUUAGGAUUUGCUUUUGUUUACCAGCAGCUUCAAGAGUGUCCAGAAAUGCUCUGUUUCAAGUGCUCUGUUUUGAGAGGCUGGAAAUGCUCUUUAAUUCUUCUUGUUAUUAAAUUUGAGUUUGCAUUUUGCAAAAAAAGACAGCUAAUGAGUGCUAGGGAUAAUGACCGGUUCUUCAUUACAAUUCAUCUUUUGUUAUUAGGCUCGAUUGUUUGUCACGAAAUGAUAGAUGUAAUAGGCAUUGUACUUCACUACCAUUAAAUUAUAGCUUAUGUACCCUCUACAUGUCAUUGAUUUUUUCCUUGGGCUCUACUCUAAGAUCGCAUCUGCAAUGCUGAGCCACGACUGGAGGUGCAGUGGUGGGGUUCGCCGUGGUCGGUCAGUCCCUGGCAAGAUGUCAACACUGGCGAUCUCCUAUCUCUUUACCAUCCUGAGGUAAACAAGGCAUCCCUACCCUCAGGCUGACUUAGGAUGUAGAUCUGCAACCUCAUAUUGAAGCCGUAUCACUAAGGGGCAGCACAAUGGCAGUGUGUAGCCACCUAGAGAAGUGUUCUAUUUGCAGUAUAACUUCCUUCUCAUAUUAUCUAAUUGAAAAACAGUAGGUGCACAUCAAGGUGCAAUAUUUUCAGCAAUCAGACUUCUAUACUCUGCAAUUAUAAGCUUUUCCAUUGAUCUGGCUUUUCCCAUCUACAGUUCUUCCUUUAGUUAGUUGGUUCUGUCUCUCAAUACACAAUCGGCAUGUAGUACUAUUUAUGCUAUGUACUGCAAACCUAAACAUAAUUUAGCUUUCUCUUAAUGUCUCCAUUAGAUUCACUUCCAUUCUUUGUAAUGCAAGACCAAUGCGCUCAAGAUUCUGGACGCCGAGGCCGCCAAGUGAGGUUGGCUGACUCACUUCUCGCCAAUUGACAUGGCAGCUCCCGCCAUUGGCAGCGGCGCGGUCUUCCCACAAGAAAGCUCCCUCUAUUUUCUCCAUCAGCUUCAGGAUUUUUUUUGGGCGGUGCCAACACCAGAAAUUGGUGGAUUGGGAUCGCACCAAGUACAGACUUCACCAGAGCCAACCUCCCUGGUUUUUGCAUCAUUCUCGAUUUCCAGGUGGGCAGUUUGCCUGCCAUUUUGACAGCAAGGGGCAGUAGUUGGGCAGCAGUUAUAUGAAACAAAAAUGACUUCUAUGUCCAGUACGACUAUCUAGAAUAAAAUAACUGCUAUGAAUCCUCAGUUCAUAAAAAUAUUCAAAUUUAAUUUUACUUGAUCACGUUGACAGUUAGAAGCUUUGAACCAUGUUUUUUUUGCGUAGUAUGCAGUUUAUACCAUCAGAGUAGCUACUAAAACAGAAGUGGCUGUAAGAUACUUUGCAUUGCAUAUGGUUUUAGAUCAUUGCCUCACAUGGAGCUGAACCAUCCGUCCGCAAUGUCGUCGCCAAGGUCAGAGACGAAGCUGCCCUUUGGUUCAGAGUUGGCGCGUCGGGCCUGCGUGUCCUCCUGCCGCCCACCUGGGAUGUCCACUGAGUUUUAAUCUCUGUUUAUCUUUUCAGAACCAUGGCCUCUUAGGAGGAUUGUAACAACUAACUCUUCCCUUCUUUUCAAUGAAAUGAAAUGCAAAAGCUUUUUUGCAUUUUCUCGAAAAAGAUCAUUGCCUCACCGCUGUUGCCUUUUGGUCAAUUUCUAUCU
This is a long non-coding RNA of Lolium perenne, 2121 nucleotides long. RefSeq lists it as uncharacterized. Lineage: Eukaryota; Viridiplantae; Streptophyta; Magnoliopsida; Poales; Poaceae. The record is from RefSeq and is a predicted model, not a curated record.